Molecule: transfer-messenger RNA, 362 nt
Filed under: uncultured Aquitalea sp.
Lineage: Bacteria; Pseudomonadati; Pseudomonadota; Betaproteobacteria; Neisseriales; Chromobacteriaceae
Rfam family: transfer-messenger RNA
About the family: Bacterial tmRNA, also known as 10Sa RNA or SsrA, is named for its dual tRNA and mRNA-like properties. Its role is to liberate the mRNA from a stalled ribosome.
Source: RNAcentral
GGGGGCGACCUGGUUUCGACGGGGGUUGCGAAGCGGAUGAGGGCAUACCGGGAUUUCAGUCACCCCGUAAAACGCUGAAUUUAUAUAGUCGCAAACGACGAAACUUACGCUCUGGCCGCUUAAUCGCCGCCAGACUCUGCAGCGGUUCGCUGAUGGGCCGUGGAGGCAACUCCCGCAGAGUCACUUUACAUCAGCUCGCCUGAAGUCGGGUUACUUGACUCUAGGUUAAAUCCAAGGUGACUCGCUAUUAUCCAGCCUGCCCGUCGGCGUGAUACUGGUUAAAUCCAAAUGACACGGCUAAGUAUGUAGAACUCACCGUAGAGGACUUUCGGACGCGGGUUCGAUUCCCGCCGCCUCCACCA